This 1626-nucleotide long non-coding RNA is filed under the name Zea mays. RNAcentral's name for it is "long non-coding RNA (ZMAY_LNC002591)". The record is from RNAcentral. Lineage: Eukaryota; Viridiplantae; Streptophyta; Magnoliopsida; Poales; Poaceae.
CACAAGAUCUGAAGUGUAGUAAAUGAUUAUAGAUAGUUACGAACAAUCACACUUAAGGAAUGCAGAGGAACUUCACAUCACUAUGCAGUUCAAGCUCCCUUUAUGCUCUGAUAUAUUUGCAUGCAAGAUAUCACACAUAGAUUGGACCACAUCCAUCCAUCCUCCUACCUAAUCAGUGACACCUUUUUUUGUUCGUUCUUCGAAUUAUGCUAGUGGAUACUAAUUCCUUUCGGCUAAUGAAGAUGCUACCCCAGUCUUCCCAUUCAUUCCCAGUGGAUCCUUUUCAUUGAACGAACCAAGUUCACCUAUAUGAGAGUGAGGAAUAGAAAUCCUAUAUCAGGGAAAAACAUAACCCAUGGUGAAAGCCCAAUAGAUAAAAGUACCACAACAAUUUUAUUGUUCAAGUUAAUCAAAGAAACCAUCAAUGAUAGUCUAAUGCAAGCAAUGGAAUGAAUACAUAUUUCUACAAGCAUUAAGAAAUAAAGUCAUAGCUACCUGAACCCAACAGCAGACUAUUUGAUAAGGAAACUUCAAUGAUCAAACAAAAUGUAUUUGCCAUAGCGGUGCGUGCACGAGGCCAACAGCAGCUGGCUUGUUUAAGGAAAAGAUAUUGUCUACUUCAUUAGGUUUAUGGAUUCAGAUUUGUUACUGAAUGACGAUUUGCUUUUCAGUAGAAAACAUUUAAGUGGGAAAUGUAAAUGAUGUUGUUAGUAUAGGGAGAAUGAGGUGACUGCUAGUUUUGGCGAUGUUUCUCAUCCUCAAAUGGCUUAUUAUCACACAGGCAUGCUAUUCCUUUCCAUUCUCAAAUUGAAAAGGGUGGGAGGGACAGAGAAAGAAUUCCUAGAAUAAGAUUCUCCAAUACGCACCUGGUAGUAAUCCAAAUACUUUUCCCCAUAGAUGUCGCAGACGAAUGGAACAAACCCUAAAACCACGAAGCUGAGCAAAGGUUGAAGAAAAUAAUCGUUGACAGGCUAAUGCAAGCAAUGGAAAGCAUUUUUAUUGCAGUUAACUAAAUAGGACAAGCAUUAGAGUAAUAAAGUAUUAGAGUGGACGGUCUUGUACAUAUAAAUACAAAGAAACUACUAUGUAAGGAAAUAAACAUAAAUCUAAAAAAAGAUUGAGAUACUUGCCUUAGAGCUUUUUCGGAUUUCUCCGCAUAAAUAACAAAACAAUAAAAUGUACAUGUGACAGAGAGGCUAGGGAAAAUUAGUUUUUAGUCAAUUGCAGUUAACUAAAUAGGAUAAACAUUAGAGUAAUAAAAUGUUUAUGUGAUGAGAGAAAAAGGUAGAAUGCAAGGAAAAACAUAAAUCAAGAAGUAAGAUUGGGAUACGUAUUUGUUUUUGAGCUUUUUCAGAUUUACCAGCACGCAUGUGAUAGAGAGGUUGGAGAAUUUUAGUUUUCAGUCAAUUACAAUGGAGAAAAUGUAAGUGACAAACCUUUCAAAAAAAUUGUAGGAAUUUACCUCGUUUUUGUGUAGGCCAGUGAUUCCUCAAAGCGUCGCCAAGGUUCCGAAGAUGUCAUUUGAUUACAACACAAAUAGUCUGAAAAAGUUUUUCACGUUUAGCUAUUAUGCUUAGUAUCGACAACCUGUUGAUCCAUAUGCAAAUAGAGGUCACUAAAUUGUUU